This 42-nucleotide ribosomal RNA is filed under the name Castilleja oresbia. RNAcentral's name for it is "partial 26S ribosomal RNA". The record is from RNAcentral. Lineage: Eukaryota; Viridiplantae; Streptophyta; Magnoliopsida; Lamiales; Orobanchaceae. RNAcentral also lists the same sequence under 1 other name.
CGACCGCGACCCAGGUCAGGCGGGAUCACCCGCUGAGUUUAA